Molecule: ribosomal RNA, 469 nt
Filed under: Pseudomonas sp. oral taxon B99
Lineage: Bacteria; Pseudomonadati; Pseudomonadota; Gammaproteobacteria; Pseudomonadales; Pseudomonadaceae
Description: bacterial SSU rRNA
Rfam family: Bacterial small subunit ribosomal RNA
Source: RNAcentral
AUUGAACGCUGGCGGCAGGCCUAACACAUGCAAGUCGAGCGGUAGAGAGAAGCUUGCUUCUCUUGAGAGCGGCGGACGGGUGAGUAAUACCUAGGAAUCUGCCUGAUAGUGGGGGAUAACGUUCGGAAACGGACGCUAAUACCGCAUACGUCCUACGGGAGAAAGCAGGGGACCUUCGGGCCUUGCGCUAUCAGAUGAGCCUAGGUCGGAUUAGCUAGUUGGUGAGGUAAUGGCUCACCAAGGCUACGAUCCGUAACUGGUCUGAGAGGAUGAUCAGUCACACUGGAACUGAGACACGGUCCAGACUCCUACGGGAGGCAGCAGUGGGGAAUAUUGGACAAUGGGCGAAAGCCUGAUCCAGCCAUGCCGCGUGUGUGAAGAAGGUCUUCGGAUUGUAAAGCACUUUAAGUUGGGAGGAAGGACAUUAACCUAAUACGUUGGUGUCUUGACGUUACCGACAGAAUAAGCA